RNAcentral lists this unclassified non-coding RNA (21 nucleotides) under Mus musculus (house mouse). RNAcentral describes it as "oocyte_clustered_small_RNA5090". The record is from RNAcentral. Lineage: Eukaryota; Metazoa; Chordata; Mammalia; Rodentia; Muridae.
UUAGUGAACUCGGAGACACCA